GAGAAGGCAUGUCGUUCAACUUUUGCCAAGUCCAUUUAUUUCCUGCGGGACUAUAUGCGUUAUGUUUGCCGGGAUAAGUUUUUUCUGGUGACAUGUUCGGUACAUGCCUCCAAUGUUAAAGUCUAUGUGUCUUCAAAUCUGUCGUCGGAGAAGAAACAUCAGCUGCCAAUCGGAUAUUUCGAUGAGGAAGUGCCGGCAAACCUUGCUGCUGACUUGGGUCUUGAGCCUCUGGAAGAAGUAGAAGACCAUUAACAGGGAACUGAAAGACUUUACAUUGGUUUGUGCAAGGCUUUACUUCCCGCAGCAGCAGCAUCAGCUUGUGUUAGUUCUCCUCCUUCCUCAUCAUUCCAUUCUUUUGUUUUUAAUCAUCUUCUUUUUUAGUUUGUUAUGUAUGAAUGUCUUAAUGGCUUACAGGGACUAGUGAAGCUUGGACAGUCUUGCGGCGAUGACAAAUCGAGGAGGAUAACACUAACGGUAGACCAAGCUGCCAUCUCCUUCGCAUUGCAGGCCGUCCGUUUCUUUCGAAAUUGUCUCGACCAGUAACCGGUUUCGAAACUCACAAAGGCAGCUGGGGAAAUCAUUUAUGUAUUUGAUUGAUUGAUCGUACUCAACAAUAUAUUUGAAAGAAAAAUCAAGUUACAACUAUUAAUCUCUUUGUUAAGUACUUAAUUAAUCGAAAAGUCCAC
Molecule: long non-coding RNA, 686 nt
Filed under: Linum usitatissimum (flax)
Lineage: Eukaryota; Viridiplantae; Streptophyta; Magnoliopsida; Malpighiales; Linaceae
Description: long non-coding RNA (LUSI_LNC002072)
Source: RNAcentral